GGGAGCUGCGCACACACCUGGGGCUGGGUAGUUCAAGCCAUUUCUGCAGGCUCCGGGGUGCUGGGGUGGUCCCCCCUUGUCAGAUACCUGGUCCUAGGGUGAUGGAGGGCAGGAGAAUAGUAUCACAGACUGCAGGAACCGGAUAAAAGGAUGAGGGUGGGGCAUGGACAGGAUUGGUUGGUUUGCAUGUCAUGGGCGCACUCAUCUGCAAGCCUAGUAUCCCUAGAAAUUAGCUAACCUCAGGGGGCCAUUCCUUCCCAGAUUCACAAGGCCCCGAGAUGUCAAAGCAUCAUAAAAUACAAAAGAUGUUAAUAAAUAACAUGAUUAGUACAGUACCUCAUUAACCAUCAGAGUGCUAAAUGAGGAUCACAGAAAUAAAAUAAUUAAAAAAGCUUUUAACUGCAUGUUUUCAGUUUAUACAUGGUUUUCAGAUAUAAUUUCUCUUUUAGUCUUCCUAGAAAAUCUCCAUAAUAAUAUCAUCAUCCCUGGAUACGGAAACGAAGGCUGAAAGAGAGAAGAGGACGUGGUUUCCUGAUAGCAGAGUUCAGGGUGGAAACUCCAGAUCCAGCUUUCUGCCUGUGACGAUUCUGGUGGAUGUGAGCCUUGGGUGCUGCCUCUGACACCUGCUGUGCACGGCAGCCAGAGACCGCGUCCAGAAUGCAGGCAGUUUGUCUCCCACAACGUGACAGGUGGUGCCGGCCUAAGCUAUGAUCCGCUAACAAAAUAGGGCUAUGAGCCCUCUGCCUUUCAGAGCAGGCGGGGAACAUUCCUGCAAUGCUAUGGGUUGGGUGUGUGAGUUUUUUCUUGAAGAACGUAAUUAGAAAGGGGGGUUCUAUGUGUCAUGUAUAAAAUACCGAUGGGCCAGCCACAGAGAACGCUGUAGGCUUUGACAGACAAGACAGGGUGUCUUUACCAGCAAAUGGACACCAUGCCACAUCAUCCUUAAUGAAAUACGUGCACUUUAGUGAGACAAAAAUGCAUCCGUAGCUCUGCCUGCCUCCUCACGAUCCUUCUCCAGCUAUAAGGACAUCAAAUAAACCAUUUAGACAGAGGGCCCUUUAAUGAGUUUCUCAGCGGCAGUGAAUCAAGUCAGAAAGGUAAUUCAACCCUCACUCCCAAGGUACAAGGGAAGGCAAGAAAAACUGUUUCUUUAGAUUCCAUUCUGUCCACAGAACCAUUCAUCAAUUUCCUUCGAGAGUCUGAAUCAAUCCCAGCAGGACCGCUUGCCAAAAAGAACGCUCUGUGGAGACACAAGCCCCAGCUUGUGUUUGCUCUCUGGGUCUCUUCCCUCCUCUUUCUUCCUCCGGGUGGCAGGAGGGCACCGUGGCAACACAGGAGGCAUGACCUACAACAGGCCCCCGAGCUCCUGGGGCCCCUGCAUGCCCUGUCGUAGGUUUCUGAGUACUCAUUCUCAUGGGCUGCUUGCCCAUUAGCUGAUGUCACUUAAAUAACUGCUUUGCCAGAGCUGGCUUGUGUAGGACUCAUCUGAGGUCCUUACCAACAGAAGGAAUAAGGAAUUCACAUGGAAAGUUGGCCUCACCCUGCUCUUCCCUCAUCAAUGGAAUAAUCUGAAAUGUGCAGAUUACCAAUGCUUCCAGAGGCACCGAACUCAAUGGUUUGGCUUGGCUUUGUGCUUCAGUCCACACAGAUGGCAGGAGCAACUUAGAGGUGGGAGAGAUACUUAGAGAGCAGCGACUCAAAUAUUUUCAUUUGAUUGCUUUAAAAAAAUGAGGCUUUGAGAGGUGAAGUAUUAACCUCUUGCCCACCAUUAUACCACUGCAGAGAAAAAUCAAUUCACCUGAAGUCAGGGCUCUGUCCAAAAGAGGACCCACAGUUUCUGAGUCCCUCACUGGUUUGAGCAUGUGUCUUUUACCACAUGGAGAUUUUUAGACAUUGUGUGCUUUGUAGGGUUUACUCAUUUUAAUUAAAAAAAAAAACAAAAAACCCUUUCAUGUUGUGCAGCUCAUCGUCGAAAUGCUAGGCAACACGCCGAAUGUUUUAUUACAAACCAGCAUUCCCUGCAGAAAAGUCUUAUUUUGAUUAAUCUUCAGCACUUACAGCUCCUUUCUGCCAAUCAAAGUUUCCAUCACGCACAGGGUGCUGUUGUAGAGACCAAGUUGACAUGUUGAGGCAGCCCAGAACAACUUUAGAGAGGAGAGGGAGGACUUUUCCUGUCUCUUUUGAUAAGGGAAAUAGUAUGUUUUAAAGACACCUUUGUGGAAUCCUUCUUCCCUUAGAGUAGAUUGAAAGACUCUCACUUUAAAAUAGCCACCCCAGUGGAGUAAAAAAGAUGCUGAGUUCUCGUUCUCAUGAAUAUACUGCUGAUUAGAAGAACAAGAUGUUGACAAACCCAGCCCAGAUAGGUCUAUAAAGCUUGAAAGAAUUUACUGAAUAGGCUGGGCGUGGGGGCUCAAGCCUGU
Molecule: long non-coding RNA, 2420 nt
Filed under: Homo sapiens (human)
Lineage: Eukaryota; Metazoa; Chordata; Mammalia; Primates; Hominidae
Description: long non-coding RNA NONHSAT155063.1
Source: RNAcentral